AAUUAAGCCGGCAACAUGAGUUUUCAUAAAAGUGAUUCACGUACGCCUUUGGCACCCACAGAAUAUACCAAAAUACCGACAGUUACGACGGGCUAUGAUAACGAGAAGCAUAACGGCUCAGGAAUAAUAACGCGUCUGUAAAUCAAACAAAAUUCAUACGUUCGGAUAUGGCGGAUGUACGGCUCAAC
Long non-coding RNA from Lucilia sericata (common green bottle fly), 188 nucleotides. RefSeq lists it as uncharacterized. The transcript is spliced from 3 exons. Lineage: Eukaryota; Metazoa; Arthropoda; Insecta; Diptera; Calliphoridae. The record is from RefSeq and is a predicted model, not a curated record.